AGCGAACGCUGGCGGCAGGCUUAACACAUGCAAGUCGAACGCCCCGCAAGGGGAGUGGCAGACGGGUGAGUAACACGUGGGAACGUACCCUUUGGUUCGGAAUAACUUGGGGAAACUCAAGCUAAUACCGGAUAAGCCCUUAUGGGGAAAGGUUUACUGCCGAAGGAUCGGCCCGUGUCUGAUUAGCUAGGUGGUGAGGUAAUGGCUCACCAAGGCGACGAUCAGUAGCUGGUCUGAGAGGAUGAUCAGCCACACUGGGACUGAGACACGGCCCAGACGCCUACGGGAGGCAGCAGUGGGGAAUAUUGGACAAUGGGGGCAACCCUGAUCCAGCCAUGCCGCGUGAGUGAUGAAGGCCUUAGGGUUGUAAAGCUCUUUUACCCGGGACGAUAAUGACUGUACCGGGAGAAUAAGCCCCGGCUAACUUCGUGCCAGCAGCCGCCGUAA
RNAcentral lists this ribosomal RNA (447 nucleotides) under uncultured bacterium. RNAcentral describes it as "partial 16S ribosomal RNA". It matches the Rfam family "Bacterial small subunit ribosomal RNA", at positions 29 to 523 of the family's 1533-position model. The record is from RNAcentral.